Molecule: long non-coding RNA, 802 nt
Filed under: Anser brachyrhynchus (Pink-footed goose)
Lineage: Eukaryota; Metazoa; Chordata; Aves; Anseriformes; Anatidae
Description: lncRNA (ENSABRG00000016482.1)
Source: RNAcentral
UUAAUAUACUGUAUUUUGCUUGCUAUACACAGUUUUUAUGAUUAAAAAUCAUUAGCAAGAGUCAGGCUAUAUAUUAAAAACGAGUUCACACACUGGAGGGAAUGGAUCGAGGAAGAUUGUUCUAAAAUGGUUUCUAAAGUACCGUUAAAUUAAUUCAAUAAUUUGAUAGUUGUUUCUGGUUUUAUACCCUUUGCUGCUUUUAACUGUUAUAAAAUUCUGCUUUUUGGCAGGUCUUUUGAUUGUCUGAGUAUUGAAAAGCUGACUCCUUUACAUCAUCUGCUGUAAAUUAGCCUUGUUUGUUAACUUCAGAAUGCUGAGGAUCUGAGCUAUCAGUUCCUUCUGUGAAUUGUAACCUGCUGAAUCAUGUGCUGUGAUGGGUUGGGCAUCCUAAUAAAGGAGUUCAUUUAUUUAAAUCAGCCUGGCAGUUUAUGCAGCAUAGGUAUGUCUGUGAGCUUGAUCUCAUAGGCUCGAGAGUGAACUGAAACAGAAAAACUGAGAUAGAUAGAGAAGGAAAGGUUUGUUUUGACUGAUCUGCUUAUCUUAGUGGUAUGGAGAAGACAUAAAGUAGCUGGAAUUGUGGAAUUGGCCAGUGGUGAAUCAUCUUGUGUUGGCAAAAGCCAAUGGAGAUAACCUAUCUGCUUCCUGCAGCCACCGCUUGCAACCCCAGCAACAUCCCUCUGACAGACCCACAGGCAGGCGGUGCCUUUAUGGAGGUAAUACCACUGAGGAACUUCUGGAUGCCAUUUGGGAAUCAAAGUGGAGAAAGAAGCAUAUAGUUGUGGAAGAGCCAUAGGAACACUGC